RNAcentral lists this ribosomal RNA (426 nucleotides) under uncultured bacterium. RNAcentral's name for it is "bacterial SSU rRNA". It matches the Rfam family "Bacterial small subunit ribosomal RNA", at positions 354 to 796 of the family's 1533-position model. The record is from RNAcentral.
GUAGGGAAUCUUGCGCAAUGGGGGAAACCCUGACGCAGCGACGCCGCGUGCGGGAUGAAGGCCUUCGGGUCGUAAACCGCUUUCAGCAGGGACGAAAUUGACGGUACCUGCAGAAGAAGGCCCGGCCAACUACGUGCCAGCAGCCGCGGUGAUACGUAGGGGUCUAGCGUUGUCCGGAAUCAUUGGGCGUAAAGAGCUCGUAGGCGGUUCGAUUAGUCGGGUGUGAAAUCUCCACGCUCAACGUGGAGGGGCCACUCGAUACUGUCGUGACUCGAGUCCGGUAGGGGAGUUCGGAAUUCCCGGUGUAGCGGUGAAAUGCGCAGAUAUCGGGAGGAACACCAGUGGCGAAGGCGGAACUCUGGGCCGGAACUGACGCUGAGGAGCGAAAGCGUGGGGAGCGAACAGGAUUAGAAACCCCGGUAGUCC